This is a long non-coding RNA of Solanum stenotomum, 4070 nucleotides long. RefSeq lists it as uncharacterized. The record is from RefSeq and is a predicted model, not a curated record. The transcript is spliced from 8 exons. Lineage: Eukaryota; Viridiplantae; Streptophyta; Magnoliopsida; Solanales; Solanaceae.
GCAUCAUUCUGCAGAAGCUAUCUGGUCUGAGCUUCCAUGGCAGUCAUCCCAUCAAUAUGAUUAAUCUUCCACCCCAAGUUGUGGUGACGGUGGAUUCUCUGACGUAAGGCCAAAUGUGAAAAUGAAACUUGUUAAUUUGCAGGUCCUUCAAUAUUUCUAUAUCAAUUCAAGUUUUGUUUCCAAAGGACCAAUACAUAAAUUACUUAAUAACAUAGUGAUGAGUUUUGACAGUGCUUCUGACAUUGAGCAGCAAAGUAGAUCUCAGAUAUAUCCACUGUUUUUGUUUAACCUAAACUGCCCAAGAUCUGUACAUGAUUUGACUUCUGGAGCCUUCAAAGACCUCUGUGGAAUAUAAGGUGAGAUUUUGUGUUGGCGUUUAUAAUUUAGUUGUUUGGGGUUUGGGAAAUGAGUCGGAGUCUUUGGAUUUAUUUUUGUAGAAUUGAGUUUGUUCUCUCAUUGCACAAAAACUUCAUGCUAGCGCAAACCUAACUUUUACAUCUAGUACUUUUUCAACCACCAUCAAGAAUACUCUUAGUUAUAAGCCUCAGAUAACCAAUCCAGAUAUUAUUCAAUUCCAAAGCAGAGUUAAUAUUCCCUUCUCAUGUAGCUGUGUUGAUGGGAAAUUCAUGGGCCAUCAGUUUGGUGUGCAGGUCAACUAUUACUACUUAUCCGAGAAUCGCUCGUCUUUAUUGUUUGAACCUUACAACAGUUGAAAAGUUGCAGGAGUCUAACAGUUAGGAUCCUAAAACUGUUCCUGCAAAUGCUAUAGCAAAUAUUAUUGUGAAGUGCUCUUGUGGGGAUAGUCAUUUUUCAAAAGAUUAUGGACUAUUUAUAACUUAUCCUCUUUGCACUGACCAGAAUUUGGUUACACUAGCCAAUGAAUUUAAUGUACCACAGAAGUUGUUGGAAGACUAUAUCCUGAAGCAAAUCUUGGCAUUAGAUAGGAGAAGUACCACUGCAGGAUAAAUUUCCAGAUCUCAUGUUACUAUCUAGCAACCCUGAAAUUGUUGUGUCUGAUUGUUGGUCCCCCCAGGGUUGGAAUCUAAACUUCAGCAGGCACUUAAAUGAUUGGGAGGUAGAAAGAGUAGUUGACCUGCUAAAAGAAGUGGAUACUUUUGGUGGGACAAUAAUGGAGCCUGAUAGACUUAGAUGGAGACACAGUUCAGAAGGAAGUUUCACUGUAAAUAAGUUAUACAAGAGGGAGAAUAGCAUUAUGCAGGAGGAAGAGCUAAAGAUAUGGAGAAAUGUCUGGAAGAACAUUGCCCCUACAAAAGUGAAAUGUUUCACAUGGCUAGUGGUAAGAAAGGCAUGUCUUACUCAUGAAGUGUUACAAAAGAAGGGGAGAGUUGUGGUGACUAGAUGUUUUUUGUGCAAUGAGACUAGGGAGACAAACAAUCACUUGUUCCUACACUGUAAAUUCACUACCCAAUUGUGGAACAUGUUUUUCAGUCUCACAAAGACAGUGUGGACAAUGCCGGAACAUACAGCCGAUCUAAUGAGUUGUUGGAUGAAAAGAGGGGGAAGUAGAAGUCCGGAAAAAUGGUGGAGGAUAAUACCCUCUUGCAUAUGGUGGUCAGUCUGGAGGGAGAGAAAUGGAAGGUGUUUUGAAGACAAAAUCAGAUCAGUCCAUGAUGUGAAAUGGAACUGCCUGGAGACUUUAUUUUUUUGGUGUAAACAGAACUGCAUAGAGGAAAUAGAGGAGUUAGUAGAAUUUCUAGGAGCUUUGUAAAGCUAGAGUCUACUUGCUUUGUAACUUGUUUCUGAUGGUGGCCAGCAUUCCCAAUGCUGAAGAACACAACAUUACUAAUCCUCAAAAAAAUCUUGGCAGGGGAAGUGGUCUGGUUUUCAUUCCUGGAAAAGAUCAAAAUGGAACUUAUCCACCAUUAAGAACUUCUUAAAGCUCAAAAGGUUGGCCUUUACUGCUACAGUGGCAUCGUUUUCAACUUAUCAAGUCUGAGGUAUCAAAAUCGCUCUGAAUGUGAUUGUAAUCUACUAAACAUUGUGUUAUUGAUAGGAAUCUCAGGUGGAGCAAUAGCUGGCAUACGGGUUGCAGUAGUUCUUGUGGUAGUCCUUUUAGUGUCUUGCCAGUAUCUUACCUUUUAUAGAGGCAGGAAAACGGAAGAAAAUUGUUUCUUAACUUGGAAUCUUACAAACACAGUAGUAAUAAGCAUGUUCCUGGUAAUUUUAUUGAUUUCAAUCUUACUGAUGUAUGUUUAAUUACCCGCCAAACUCUAUGGUGGAAAUUCCUGUUUCUUGUUUCUCAUUUCUCAUUUCUAUUGCCUUAGGAAUGAGGAAUCAUCAUCAUCUUCAUCAUAAUGACUUGUUAGAGAUAUUACUCUAUUUUCCAUUCAUUACAAAAAUAUAAGCUUCCUGCAAUCGAUCCUGGUUGAUGAUAAAAGUAUGUCAACUGUUCUGUGGAAGCAAUGUUUUGGUUCAUCCUUUGAAUAAACCUUGUAAUUUCUUUAAAUGACUCGGGUCAAGCAAAUUUUGAGAAUUCUUCAGAAGGGGGACCUCUUAAUAAAGGUGCUUCUCCAGAGGGUCCAGAGGAUUGCUGUGGAUAAAUCUGUAGAAUUUUCAUAUGAUGAACUCGCUAAUGCCAGUGACAACUUCAGCAUAGCCUACAAGAUUGGCCAAGGUGGUUUUGCUUCUGUUUACUAUGGAGAGUUAAGAGGCGAGAAAGCUGCUAUCAAGAAGAUGGAUAUGCAAUCAACAAAAGAAUUCCUUGCUGAAUUGAAGGUUUUGGCACAUGUUCAUCACUUGAACUUGGUAAAUUCAGUACUCAUACUGAUAUACUAUCUUUUCUUACCUAAUUAUAACCUCUUUGGCACCUGCUCUCAGUCUAUGGGGAAAAAAAUCAACAUGAUGGAUUCAUGGUUGGUUAAACUUGCAUACUUCAGCUAUCUUUGAACUUAGUGGUAAUUGUAAUGCAAUUUUCAAAAGUGGUCUGAGCCACUUAGCUUGAUAAUGUGAUACUUUUCAUAGUGAAAGUCAGGAUUGGUGAUUUAACUCUGCCAUACUUGAGAUUUAGCAGAUCUGCUGAUGAUGAAUUCAUUCACUCCAUAUGUCAUAAAGAAUAUGAGGUAAUAUUUCAUGUGCUGAAACAAUUGCAGGUACGUUUGAUAGGAUAUUGCAUUGAAGGAUCCUUGUUCUUACUUCUUAGUAUACGAAUACGUUGAAAAUGGAAACCUAAGCCACCAUUUGCGCUAUUUUAACUAUGGUUUCGUAUGCUUGCUUUUACACCAGUGACAUCAAAGUGCAGCCAUUAUAUCAUGCUUUCCCAGCAAGCUUUGGCUUUACUAAAAGGAGAGGCACUGAGCUCUAUUUCUGACAUUUCUUUGUUGGAAAUUGUUACUAAAACUCACAGGAGCCCUAAUGAAUAUCAUAAGGACAGCAAAGUGUUCGUACCUUGGAAUUGAUGAUUGUAGACGAGAUGUUGGUACAACAAGUAAUUCUGUAUAAGCCUACCUGAUACAUGAGUUGACUGUUGUUUACAAAUAAGGAAAUUUCUUGGGAUUUUUCUCUUUGCAGUCAUUGUUCAUGAUGUAUUUUACAACCAACCAGUUUGAAGGAAGCAAAUGCACAAUAAGUACUUCUAGUUUUCUCACAAUUCAAACAAACAAAAAAUAUUGGCUUACAUACUUCAUUUCUAAAUUUGUACUCUGUUCUGAUUGAUCAUUUGGUUUGCAAAUAUAAUCUGGAAGGUCAAAGAGGGUCUUGCAUUAAGCAGCUCUACGAAGAAUCCCCCUUGUGCAUCCCAGUGGGUUUGGGAUUCAUCUGAGUUCCCUUAACAAAUUGAAUGCAAGCGAUGGUUCAUUCAAGUUCUCAAGAUACAUUUCAGGUCAUUCAAUAUUUGUGUAUCCACUUAGUUUAGUAUAAUUUUCUGAAUAAGGAAAACUUUUCUUCGGUUAGCAUUUACCAUAUUGGAUGCUUUUUUCUUUACAGUGUUCUUGCUUUCCCUAACCUUCGUAAUGCAGUUAUCAAUUCAAGAUUUGCUUCCGAAGGACCAAUACAUAAAUUACUUAAUAAUUUACUAAUCGAGAAGGCCCUUGCAUCAGUUCUGGCCCAUUUAU